CCUACGGGAGGCAGCAGUAGGGAAUCUUCCACAAUGGGCGAAAGCCUGAUGGAGCAACGCCGCGUGGGUGAAGAAGGUCUUCGGAUCGUAAAACUCUGUUUUUAGAGAAGUAAGUGCGUGAGAGUAACUGUUCACGUUUCGACGGUAUCUAACCAGAAAGCCACGGCUAACUACGUGCCAGCAGCCGCUGUAAUACGUAGGUGGCAAUCGUUAUCCGGAUUUAUUGGGCGUAAAGGGAACGCAGGCGGUCUUUUAAGUCUGAUGUGAAAGCCUUCGGCUUAACCGGAGUAGUGCAUUGGAAACUGGGAGACUUGAGUGCAGAAGAGGAGAGUGGAACUCCAUGUGUAGCGGUGAAAUGCGUAGAUAUAUGGAAGAACACCAGUGGCGAAAGCGGCUCUCUGGUCUGUAACUGACGCUGAGGUUCGAAAGCGUGGGUAGCAAACAGGAUUAGAUACCCCUGUAGUC
This 465-nucleotide ribosomal RNA is filed under the name uncultured bacterium. Its description in RNAcentral is "partial 16S ribosomal RNA". It matches the Rfam family "Bacterial small subunit ribosomal RNA", at positions 338 to 795 of the family's 1533-position model. The record is from RNAcentral.